This 494-nucleotide ribosomal RNA is filed under the name uncultured bacterium. RNAcentral's name for it is "partial 16S ribosomal RNA". It matches the Rfam family "Bacterial small subunit ribosomal RNA", at positions 28 to 507 of the family's 1533-position model. The record is from RNAcentral.
GACGAACGCUGGCGGCGUGCUUAACACAUGCAAGUCGAACGGAAAGGCCUGCUUUCCCUUGUGGAUUGCGGGUACUCGAGUGGCGAACGGGUGAGUAACACGUGAGUGAUCUGCCCCCAACUUGGGUAUAAGCCUGGGAAACUGGGUCUAAUUCCCGAUAGGACUGCAGGGUGGUGCCUGUGGUGGAAAACGAUUUUCUAGUGGUUGGGGAUGAGCUCGCGGCCUAUCAGCUUGUUGGUGUGGUAAUGGCCUACCAAGGCGGCGACGGGUAGCCGGCCUGAGAGGGUGGACGGCCACAUUGGGACUGAGAUCCGGCCCAGACUCCUACGGGAGGCAGCAGUGGGGCCUAUUGCACCAUGGGCGGAAGCCUGAUGCAGCGACGCCGCGUGGGGGAUGACGGCCUUCGGGUUGUAAGCUCCUUUCGACCGCGAGGAAGCCACCUGGUUGGAAGGGUGGUGACGGUAGUGGUAGAAGAAGCACCGGCUAACUACGUG